CCCUUGGGAAAGGCUAAAACCCCACAGCUGCAACAUCCAUCAACUUCAGUAUACAACCCAUGCCUAAGGCUUGCACUCCGGUAGAAGCAAGAAAAUAGAGCUAACCCUUGGGCAAGGCUCGUGACCUAAUUAGUAGAAAGAGACCUAUGCCAUAACCACACAAGCCUUCCAAGGUUAAGGUAGCAAUUAAAUUUAAAAAAGGGAAGCC
Molecule: long non-coding RNA, 208 nt
Filed under: Carica papaya (papaya)
Lineage: Eukaryota; Viridiplantae; Streptophyta; Magnoliopsida; Brassicales; Caricaceae
Description: long non-coding RNA (CPAP_LNC003081)
Source: RNAcentral